Molecule: ribosomal RNA, 484 nt
Filed under: uncultured bacterium
Lineage: Bacteria
Description: partial 16S ribosomal RNA
Rfam family: Bacterial small subunit ribosomal RNA
Source: RNAcentral
AUUGAACGCUGGCGGCAGGCCUAACACAUGCAAGUCGAGCGGAUGAAGGGAGCUUGCUCCUGGAUUCAGCGGCGGACGGGUGAGUAAUGCCUAGGAAUCUGCCUGGUAGUGGGGGGUAACGUCCGGAAACGGGCGCUAAUACCGCAUACGUCCUGAGGGAGAAAGUGGGGGAUCUUCGGACCUCACGCUAUCAGAUGAGCCUAGGUCGGAUUAGCUAGUUGGUGGGGUAAAGGCCUACCAAGGCGACGAUCCGUAACUGGUCUGAGAGGAUGAUCAGUCACACUGGAACUGAGACACGGUCCAGACCCCUACGGGAGGCAGCAGUGGGGAAUAUUGGACAAUGGGCGAAAGCCUGAUCCAGCCAUGCCGCGUGUGUGAAGAAGGUCUUCGGAUUGUAAAGCACUUUAAGUUGGGAGGAAGGGCAGUAAGUUAAUACCUUGCUGUUUUGACGUUACCAACAGAAUAAGCACCGGCUAACUUCGUG